GAUGCUGUUAACGCAUCAUUAAGCUUUACGGUUGUUUACUAUAGUUAUCCAGUGAUCUGGAUUCUUACCGAGUGGUUGGAGCCACUUUGUUUGACGCCUCCCUGUUAAACUCCUGAGAGCCGCCUUAUCCGCGGCUCUUUUUUU
RNAcentral lists this small RNA (144 nucleotides) under Mesorhizobium sp. Root157. Its description in RNAcentral is "Alphaproteobacterial sRNA BjrC1505". It matches the Rfam family "Alphaproteobacterial sRNA BjrC1505". The record is from Rfam by way of RNAcentral. Lineage: Bacteria; Pseudomonadati; Pseudomonadota; Alphaproteobacteria; Hyphomicrobiales; Phyllobacteriaceae.